Molecule: ribosomal RNA, 254 nt
Filed under: uncultured bacterium
Lineage: Bacteria
Description: partial 16S ribosomal RNA
Rfam family: Bacterial small subunit ribosomal RNA
Source: RNAcentral
UACGUAGGGGGCAAGCGUUGUCCGGAUUUAUUGGGCGUAAAGAGCGUGUAGGCGGCUUGGUAGGUCCGCUGUGAAAACUCGAGGCUCAACCUCGAGAUGUCGGCGGAAACCACUUGGCUAGAGUCCGGAAGAGGAGAGUGGAAUUCCCGGUGUAGCGGUGAAAUGCGCAGAUAUCGGGAAGAACACCUAUGGCGAAGGCAGCUCUCUGGGACGGUACUGACGCUGAGACGCGAAAAGCGUGGGGAGCGAACAGG